Molecule: long non-coding RNA, 8824 nt
Filed under: Triticum aestivum (bread wheat)
Lineage: Eukaryota; Viridiplantae; Streptophyta; Magnoliopsida; Poales; Poaceae
Description: long non-coding RNA (TAES_LNC019814)
Rfam family: Small nucleolar RNA snoR77 (bases 2650-2785)
Source: RNAcentral
AAACAGGUUCUUUUUCUCCCAUCUUCAUCCUGCAGAUCUCGACCUCGACCUCGAUCUCGAUCUGUCUUGCUUCGGAACCUCUUUUCCGUUCGUUCUUCCCCGGGGGAUUUCUUUUCCCAUCUGGGUUUGAGCACGGUGGGGAUCGAUAUUCAGUCUCGUUCGUCGUUACUGUCAUCUUCUUGUUCCUCUCUUCUGGAUUAGAAAUACCUUUCUCCAACUGCAUGGUUCUCCUGAUUUGUUCUUGUUUUUUAGUUUGUUUUCGGUGGCCAAGGAUUAAAAUAAAUUAUAGACAAGCAUAUGUCCGAAUUCUCUUCAUGUGGAACGAUCUAAUCUUCUCUAUGAGGCCAGCGAUCUUGCUCGUUUUUUGAUCUGCAGUUUUAUUAGAUGCGUUCCGUGGUUGCCGAUGAUGAUUAGUGUGAACCUUUCUCAAUGAAAUCACUAAUGAUUACAUAACCUACUGCCUUCCUUCUGAGGCACCACGAAUCGUCGAUUCCUUGUGUCUUUGUAUGUAUUUUUUUUGUUGUCUCUUGAAUUAUUGGUUUGCCAUGGUCGGAUGAUGAUCACAAGUGCAUAGUUCAUAUGAUCAAAUCGUGAUUACUUGAACAAAAAUAGUCUUUCGCUCCUAUCUGACGACCGUGCAACCUUCCCUUUCUCAGGAGAAUCAAACAAUUUGUGUGUUAUUUCCCUUGUUAUGUUUUGCAACUUACUGUCUGAAUUUGUUGUAGAGGACGGUCAAGAUUGAUAUUUGGUCUCGUGCAUAAUUAGCAGGUCAAAAUCUGAUUAAUUUUGUACUAGUAUAACUUGCCUGAGUUAGGCCGUGCAUAGUCACAGAUGACGAAACUGUGAUUACACUGACGAACUUUAGCUUUCCUGUUUAAUUUCAGUUAAAAUUUCAUACGAGAAACCGUACCUACUCAGUAAAGCUACUUCGAUUUAAGGAAUAAUUUUGGAGAAUGUUUUAUUUGCUUGAAUUUGGAGCAGUGACUAGACAUUCACUCAAUAUCAUCUUUCUGGUUUGAAAUCGCUAUGUUCUUACCUAGCUUCGUGUAAUAUGUUCAGAACUGUAAUGUUAAUGCCAGUGAUUCCUGGAAAGCCAUUCUACUACACAUUAGGCAGAACUUCUCACAUAGUAGUUCAUGAACUUAUUGGGAUGACACAUCUCAAGAAAAAGAGACUUGUUGGAAUAAUAGAGGAAUGACAGAAUUAAGAGUAAUAAAUGGAAUUUUAUAUUUUUGGGGAUCUUUGAUUAGGCAGCACUAGCAUAGUUAGCUGUUUUUGAAUUGGUAGACCAUCUACAACAGAUACUUUGAUGUUUGCAAUGGUUCUCCAAACCAGUUUGAGGAUGAUGAUUUCAUAUUUGUCGCCCCAGUCUUAGGAUCCGCCUAGGUGGAUCUGUGCUGAUUGACAUAUUACUGAAUCUGACUCAGCAAAUGAAAUUUUGAACAAUUGGUUCGAUUCUCUUUUCUACUUAUUUUCCUUGGGUGAUGGCAGUGACGAUUUGCAAAAUUCAAGCUCAACAGACCAAAUCACAGGUUUUCUCCCAGGAGUUGAUUUGUAUGCCGAUUAUCCCGCUGAACCGAGCCAUCUGACACUUGAGUUUUUAAAACUGCUGUUCAUUGUUCUUAUCUCUGGAUCCUUCACUUCCAUGCUUCUUUUCAUGUUUAUUUAUUUUUGCUUGUAUUGGAGGACGUAAUUGCAAUGAGGAUAACAAGCUCCCUUUUCUGAAAGCAUUGACGACAUCGCUGUAGAAUCGAACCAAUUAAAUAUUGCCACCACUGAGCAACUCUGUAUCUUUGUACAAUCUUUGUUGCUUCUUCUUACAUCUACAAGAUCUGUUUGGAUCGUGAGGAAGUAUUGAUGCAUAAUCCAACACUUGAUCCGAGGGCAGCUUGAGCAGCCCAUAUGAUGUCAUCUUUGCAACUGAAUCCAUCAGAGUACAGUGUUAUUUUUUCUGAAACGUUGAAGCAAUCUUCAGACACCUUCUGACACGGUGCUUAAUUUUCUGUGAAUGAGAAGUCAUCUAUAUUCUGAUGAUACAUCUUGUUUUCAUCAGUUUUUACAAUCUUGUCUUCCAAGUUAGAUCUAUAAUGCAAUCGAAGCCCAUGAUGAUUAGCUUUAUGUUGGAAUUACCGUCAGACCAUAGGAAGUGCCAUAUGACACUGUAAACAACAGCUGCUUCUCAACACUGCAAGUGUCCUCCUUCGAGCAUAGCCUUUGUGGUUUUCUUUCCGUGUUAAUUUCGUCUUCUUUCGGUGAAGAUCCCAGCAGAGAGGUGUUGAAUCUCCCUUGUUGAGGCCUCUCUAACAAAUUUUUAAUCUUAGCACAGUGACGAGACGCCGUGGAUUUUGUGGAUGUGUGAUAUUCCUGGUUCUGUCACAUCUGUUGCCAUGGAUACAACUUUAUCAUACUAUAGUAUCUAAACUUCUGUUUUCCAUCCGAGGGACCUAUGGAUGGACAGCCCUUCCCUUGCUGUGUCUACCAAGUUUGCCUUCGGACACUAUAAAGCAAAUUGUUCUUCAAUCAUCUUGCUUCAAACUCUUUAUUUUUUGUGAGGUGGAAACGUUUGCUGACAUUUGAUUUAUGGAUAAGCCAAUGAAUUUUUGUUUCUAAUUUUCAGUCUUGCAAAUCAGACCCAACGAGCGACGAUUCAGGCAGCCCUUUUGUCCAUUACAAUGGCAAUGGAGGUGUUGCGUUGCUCGGAGAUUAAAUCUUCUGCUCUUCAGAUUAGCUGAGUGGGAGGCUCUGCUUCCCUCCUUGAAGCUUGUCUAGUAGUCUUAAGAACAUCUAAUAGUCCUCAUUACAAACUUUGUAGAACAUUGUAGUUCUUUGACGAGCGAUGAUUCAGGCAGCCUCUUUAUCGUUACAGUGGCAUUGGAGGGGGAGGCUCCUGCUUCCCUCCCUGAAGCUGGUCUAGUAGUCUUAAGAACAUUAUUAUAAGUAUGUUUCUCAUACCCGAUUUGAUUUUGACCUUUUUUGUUUGUGAAAUGGUAAUUCAAUAAUUGGUGAAAACAAAUGAUGAUAGCAAGACAGGGACAUCAGAACCCUGAAUUUCUGGGUUAUGACAGAUUACGUCAAUAAUGGUAAUCUCUCUGAUGUUUUCAGUUCCCAAGUUAAAUUGAUCUGUUUUUUCCUUUUCAAUCAGUCUUCUUUGGAAUAUGGUUCUCUUUCUCUAGCAAUUCAGAUCUUGGAUGGCAAUGCUCAGCUCAUGGUCGGCCUCAUCGUGCAUACAGCUAGAUAGAUCCAACGAUAUAUAAAGCAGUUACACAAUUGGCAACUGAAGCUUAAUAACAUUUUCAUGAAAGUGAACAGAGAUUUUUUAUCUAAAAACAAUGAACAUACUGACCCGGAUCUACAUUUAUUCAUAGGAUAGGAAAAAUGGUGAACUGCGAAUGAACAUGAAACUAACCCAAAGGCUUACAGAUGGCCCUACAAUGGCAAUGCUCAAUUUGAUGUUCUUGGUUGAUCAGAGUUUGGUCAGUUCAGUACGCGAAACAAAUCACUGCAUGGUGGCUACAGAGCUUCAACAUUAGCAUACAGCUAAAAUUGAUCCAAAGACGACUUCUGUUUACAUCAUUUGAAGCUUAGCAAAACUUGUGGUAUUUUAAGUGUCGGCCUUGUCUGAAAAAAAUACCAAUCUGUUGAUGUAUCUGUGCAAAUGUUCUGAGGGACAAUUUCCUUUUGAGAUUUUGAUCUAAUCCUUAAAGCUGUCCGAUGAUGAUCAAACAAAAUACUUUCGUUCUUCUGAUGUGCUAUCUCAUGGCGCGGUGCGGAAGCAAUUUAGAGACCUGAACUGGGGAAAUGAUUGAUUAGUUCUUGCCAUCUGCAAGUUUUGCUAUUUUUUUCAUGUUUUUUCUGCUUGUAGUUUGCAAUGGAAAAUUGUUUUUGUGUUUGUUGCUUCACAACUGGAAGGAUGGCCUGUUGAUAACAGUUUGGACAUCCCGUAGAGGGAAAGCAUAGAUGAAUGGAAACACCGGCCAGUAUUAAACAGCAUGACGCUCUGUCAAACCGCGUCAUGUUACCUGUCUUCUGGCACAUUUCUAACAUAGUACAUAUUUUUAUUUCUCGAGAUUUUAAUUCCUGAUUCUGUAGCUCGUUAAUUUGGCGGAAGAAAGCCAGCAUUGCACGUGCUUUGGAGGAUUAAACUUGCAGAAAGCUCGAUCAGUUUUGUUCGGUGAUGAUCAAACUAAAUACUUUUGUUCUUCUAAAGUUCUGAUGCGCUAUCUCAUAGCUCGGUGCAGAAGAACACCUAUGUUUAUCAACCGCAUUAUGCCUACCACAGAGCAUCAUUGCCAAAACAAACGAAUGAGCAUAUUAUGCAUUCUUAUUGACAAAGCAAUUUACAUGAUUUUAGCAGAGUCCACUGUACUUGAUCUUUGAGUGACCAAACAACUGACAAAUCUUUUUUGAGAAAACCCUUAUCUUGAGAGAUAGUAGUCGUGGCCCCAGCUCAUUAUGAGACUUUCCUUUGUGGGCGGUCGUGAUAUGAACAUCUCUUUUGUAUCUGAGCCCACCCAACAUUUUUCUUAUGCUUCAUUACAGUUUGGUACAGCCUAUGAAGGCUCUUCUAGUUUUUGGGAAAAUAAACAGCUAGACUGUAACUGCUACAGUGAUGAUAUAAUCCUUGUCUCCCUUUUCUAACAUCCUCAGUUGUAAUAACUGAAUGAGCAAUGAUGCAGGCAGCCUCUUUGUCCGAUUACAUUGGCAAUGGAGGUGUUGAGUUGCUUAAUUUGAUAUUUUUUUGGUUGCUCAUUGUUUGGUCAGAUCAAUAUGCGAAGCAAAUCAGCUGCAACAUUAAGCAUACAGCAAGAUUGAUCCAAAGAUGCAUCUGUUUACAUCAUUUGCAACUGAAGCUUAGCAACACUUGUGCAAUUUUAAGUUUCAACCUUGUCUGGAAAAAUACCAUUCUGUUGAUACAUCUGUGCACAUGUUUUGAGGGACUAUUUCUUUUCGAGAUCUUUUUUUGUACUGGAUCUAAUGCUUAAAGCUGUCUCAUGGCUUGGUGUGGAAGCUAUUUGGAGACCUGAACUGAGGAAAAACUGUAUGUAAAAACAGUUAAAAUUGCAUAUUUUUUAUCGUAGUGUUGCAAAUCGAAAUGAUUUUUCUUUCUUGUUGUACUUUUUUUGCGGUAUUUUUUCUUGGCAUACACUCCUUCACAUCUGGAAGAAUGCCCUGAUGUAUACAGUAUUUUUUUAAACUGCACACAUUGUACUGUCGAAUGCUAGCGGUCAAAUCUAAAAUCUUCUGAUCUUCAGAUUAGCUGACGUGGAGGCUUUGCUUCCCUCACUGACGCUCGUCUUAAGAACAUUUUCUAUCUGUUUCGAACACAAUCUGGUUUCUUUUACAAUGUCUUAAGGAUGAUCGACCUGUUUCUUACAAAUUUGGUUUCCUUUGUGUUUUGGUUGCGGGUUGCCUACCCAAGGGACCUAUGGAUGGACAGCCCUGCCCGUGUGAAUGUUCAUCAAUCAUCUUGCUAUGGAACUCAGUUUUUUCUUGUGAUAAUAACGUUUGCUGACAUUUGAUUUAAGUUUGGUUAAAUAAAAUAUCUCCUGUACUAUGUUUUUUCAGUCUUAAAAUCAUGAAAAUUAUGGAACAAGCUAUGAUUCAGGCAGCCCCUUUGUCUGAUUUCAGUGGAAUGGAGGUGUUGCGUUGAUUAGAGAUUAAAUCUUCUGCUCUUCAGAUUAGCUGAGGGGCAGGCUCUGGCUUCCCUCUCUGAAGCUUGUCUAGUAGUCUCUUAAGAACAUUAUCUAUCUGUUUCAAUUCAAUUUGGUAUUCUUUUGUUUGACGUUUUUGACAUAUCAAUCAGUGCUUGGUUAGCUGAGUACGUGAAAUGAGUCACAAGUUUGCUGGUUCUUUUGCAUCUUCUUUUGUGAAAAUUCACCUAGAAAACUUGAUGGAACGAGCAACGAUUCAGGCAGCCCUUUUUUCUGAUUACAAUGGCAAUGGAGGUGUUGCAUUGCUCGGAGAGUGAAUCUUCUGCUCUUCAGAUUAGCCGAGGUGGAUGUUCCGGCUUCCCUCCGUGAAGCUAGUCUAGUAGUCUUAAGAACAUUAUUAUCAGUAUAUGUUUCUCAUACCCAAUUUGAUAUUGUAUUUUGACAUUUUCUUUGUAGAAUUAAAGAACCACAUGAUUUGGUUUCUCUAGUUUCCUCUUUCUUUGCUUUGCUGUCUGUAAAUUUCUUGUUUGGGGAUCAACGGAAGCAAAUGAUGAUAGCAAGACAGGGACAUCAGAACCCUGAAUUUCAGGUUAAUGACAGACUACGUCUAUAAUGGGAAUCUCUCUGAUGUUUCUGAUUUUCCCCAAGAUAAAUUGAUCUGUUUUUAUGUCUAUUCUUUUUAUUUUUUUAUUUUUUCUCCUUCUCAUUCUUCUUCAGAAUCCAGAUCUCUUUAUUGUUUGUUAACUUUUGGCUAUUCGGAUCUUGGAUGCGAAUACUUCAAGCAGAUCAUGGUCACAAGAUUGUUACAUCAUUGGCAACUGAAGCUUAACAACACAUGAAUAAGAUCAAAUAUUUUGUAUUGGAAAAACAGUGAACAUGAUCUUUAGCUGACUCAAGGCUACUUUUAUUCAUAGGAAUAGGAAACAUGGCGGAUUGCCAUACCUUGCCCAUUUGAAUCCUAUGGAUGCAAAACAAAAGGAAUUGAUCCAAGUGUUUGUUUGAUGGAAGCAUAGGAAUUUUUCACACAUCUUUCCAAGAGCUUGCAACUAUAAAAAUACUAUGAAUCACACAAGGCCUUAUAAACAUGACAUUUGACUGAACAUGAUUAGACAUUUUGACUGAAAAAACAACCUCAUGAUCUUAAACUGACUUGAAAUGAACACGAUCUUUAACUGACUGAACAAUUGAAAGCAAAUGCAUCAUAGUGGCACAGCUAUUUAUUUAUUUUCAUAUAUUUAUAAUUGUUCAUUACAAACUAUGAAUAAAUCCUCUGCUCUUCAGAUGAGCUGAGGGGGAGGCUCUGCUUCACAACUGGAAAAACGGCCUGUUGUUAACAGUUUGGUCAUCCUGAAUAGAUGAAUGGAAACACCAGUCUGCAUUAAACAGCAUGGCGCUUUAUCAAACUGUGCCUUGUUACCUGUCUUCUAGCACAUUUUGUAGCAUUAGACAAUGUGCAUAUUUCUUUUCUUGAGACUUUAUUUUUAUUUGUGAUUUUGUUGUUUGUUCCUGCAUUAGCAUGGCGCUUUAUCAAACUGCGCCUUGUUACCUGUCUUCUAGCACAUUUUGUAGCAUUAGACAAUGUGCAUAUUUCUUUUCUUGAGAUUUUAUUUUUAUUUGUGAUUUUGUUUGUUCCUGCAUUCAUUUGGUGUACGAGACAUAAUUUUGAUUUCUUGAUGUUUUGUUCAGUAAAAAUUCAAUUCUGGUGGUGUUUCACUUCUUUUAGUUUCUGUUCUGAGAUUGUGUUUGGUCUGGGCUGGAAUCUCCAUUUGCAGCUAGUUUGGUUCAGCUGUGUGCGUGAUUUUAAGAGGGUCUCCGAGGGACUCUCUUUAAUCUUGUUAGCUUCAUAUUUGGCCGGUCCAGAGUGCCUAUUAUUGUGAUGAAUUUUUUGUUACGAGUAGUUAAUCAGUUGCCGCCUAAGAGCUUUCGCCCUGCCAGGCUUGAGAGCUAAUGCUGCUAAUUCCUUCCUUGGAUGUCUGAGCCUUGUGAAAUCCCCAAUUUAUCUUUAUUUCUAUUUUACUUUGUUCUCUUCAUUUCCUGAUCUAAUUAUUCCGCCUUCUCUUCUUUGAUGCUUUAAUCUUGUUAUAAAUGUUGUUGUGUUUUGUUGGUUUCACUUGAGGAGCACUGCCCGAUGUCCGCCCACCAUUCUCUCGUUGGAUCCGAGUUUACAACGCUCCCAAGACGUAUUCUUGUAGCGCUUGCAUAAAUAUGUCUAGAUGGAUCUUGGGUUACGCUUGCCCCCAAAUUCCAGUUUAAUCUCUACAUCUUUUUUUUCAUGUAUUAUAAUUCUAGUUAUUGUGGGAUUGAUUAUUUAGCAAUUUGAACCUUUGUUGGUGCGGUGAUUAUAAAACAUUCCUCGUGCUGACGGGAAAUCCCAACUACCAACAAACAAUAUAUCUUCUGGUUUCAUUUGAUUCUUAAUUUUGUUUUAUGUUUAUUUCCCCUGACUUUUUUUUUUCUGUUUGGACUUGAGAGCAAACGUUUAUCUGUAUCUUUCGAACUUGAAGUGUGAAGCUAAUAUUUGUUUGACUUGAGGUGUGGUAAGUUAUCUAUUCGUAUUGCUGGUGGUGGCGAUUGUACAGUGAUUGUAAAACAUUCCUAUACACCCAUAGAUUCCUUGUUUAGUCUGUUUAUCUGGUUUAAUCUGUUUUUCUGGUUUCAUCUUUAUUUCUGUUUGAAAACAUGAAUUUCCAUUUACAAGAUAAACUCAGCUUUGACGCCAGUCACCAGUUCAGACUGUGGAGCACCUGAAGUCCGGCCAUGUCUUUAGUUCAUGGGCCGCCGAAUUACAAGACCUUGGACAGCACUCACGAACUAUCCAGCUCCUUUCGAGUGUGGGCAUUUCCUUAGUUUCAAAGCAUCCGGUUCUAUGAAGCAGUUGAAUCGAGCUCCGCAUCCAUAAAAUGUAAUUCAUGUUGAAAUAGAGAUGUAGAGGUUCAAUAUGGCUCACAUGAAAAAUAGAGAUCAGGAAAAUAGAGGGAGUUUCUGGUUGGUGCUUGUUUAGUGAUCGACACUGGCGAUCAAUUGCUUAUAAAUAUCACUACUUAUAGAGGGUUCUACAUUGUGCCCUCCUCUCUGUUUGUCGGUAUUGAAGACACGGUUUAUCAUUUGACAAAUUUUUAUCUGCCACAACUAAGUAAUAUAUGGAAAGUGACAGCGAUGGGUCAUUUUACAAC